RNAcentral lists this ribosomal RNA (495 nucleotides) under uncultured bacterium. RNAcentral describes it as "partial 16S ribosomal RNA". It matches the Rfam family "Bacterial small subunit ribosomal RNA", at positions 28 to 507 of the family's 1533-position model. The record is from RNAcentral.
GACGAACGCUGGCGGCGUGCCUAAUACAUGCAAGUAGAACGCUGAAGGAGGAGCUUGCUCUUCUGGAUGAGUUGCGAACGGGUGAGUAACGCGUAGGUAACCUGCCUGGUAGCGGGGGAUAACUAUUGGAAACGAUAGCUAAUACCGCAUAAGAGUAGAUGUUGCAUGACAUUUACUUAAAAGGUGCAAUUGCAUCACUACCAGAUGGACCUGCGUUGUAUUAGCUAGUUGGUGGGGUAACGGCUUACCAAGGCGACGAUACAUAGCCGACCUGAGAGGGUGAUCGGCCACACUGGGACUGAGACACGGCCCAGACCCCUACGGGAGGCAGCAGUAGGGAAUCUUCGGCAAUGGACGGAAGUCUGACCGAGCAACGCCGCGUGAGUGAAGAAGGUUUUCGGAUCGUAAAGCUCUGUUGUAAGAGAAGAACGAGUGUGAGAGUGGAAAGUUCACACUGUGACGGUAUCUUACCAGAAAGGGACGGCUAACUACGUG